UCAGCCGCAGCUCCUACGUCAACGCUACUAUAGUCGAAGGUAUCAUAUAUAAAUUUUGGCCCCGAUUGAAGUCGGUUAAGGUGUGUCGCACAAGGGUCAAAGUUCAGAUUACCCUAGGAAGGGAUAUCCUCGACUUUAAUAGAUAGUAUUUAUGUAGUGUAUGUAUAUUUAUGUGUGUAUGUGUAUUUAUGUAUUAUUGUAGAAAUUUUUUUUAGUCCAUAGAAACCUUUGCGGCACGCUUUAACCGACUCCAAUUAGGACCAAAAUUUAUAAGGGACAUCCUCGACUUUAGUUAUAUAGAUUUUGGGUAUUAAAUGAAAAAAAUAAAAAUAUUUUUAAAUGAUUGAGUCUAUAUAGAGGAAUCUGUACUUUGCCUCCUGUGCGACACGCCUUAGCCGUAUGAUAUCUGGGACCCUGGAUUGAGGGGGUGAGACUGAAAAGAUGCAUUCAUUUUAUUUUUAUGGACCACCCUAAUUUACAUAUUUGAAAACACGAAAAUGCGAACAUCCUUUUCCAGUGUUUUUCUAUUUUUGUGUAAUUUUUUGUGCGUCUGUGUACCCACUUUAAUAUGCAUAAGUAAAUAUGCUUAUCACACAUACAUACAUUUGUAUGUAACUACAAUGAUUUUAUCGCGCAAAAACAGCGCACACCUGCACAGCUUCAGUUCAUCAUCAUCCUUUACAUAUUAAAUUGUUGCUCAAAUUUACUUACCGUAUGCUAAUUUUUUCGUUGACAUCUUCAUUGUUACAUAUUCUUCGUGCACGGCGAGCUUACGAAUUCGCAUGUAGUUUUUGACUUUUUUCACAUUACCGCACCCAAUUAGAUUCAUAUGCGUGCGUGGGUGUGCGUGUGUGCUAAAAUUUUUUAUGUAAAUUUUUAUGCUAAACACGUUUUAAUAAUUUAUAAUUCCUUAUCAUUUUGUAUCAUUUACGUUUUUAUCUCCACUUGCGACGUCCUGCCAACAAAAACAUAAAACAACAAGAACAACAACUAUCGCUAUAUACAGUUGACUGUAAGUUGGUGACACCCUGUCGCAACUCUACGUACGCCAACUAUUCGCAAAUGCCCUGCCUCUGUUCAUUCUUGUACGUGCGUAUGCUCAUUCGCUGUGGUGACUUUUCCUGGCUGUGUGCCGCAUGGUGCUCGGUAACUUGCGGCCAAGGCUUGCAAAUGCGUGGCGUUGAAUGCAAAUCAUCCACCGGCAGUGCCGCCCACUUGGGAGACCCGCAUCCGUGCAGCCAUACGCGACGGGCGACUCUUGUGAUGGCGGUGGUACAGUUAUACUCGGCAGCAGCGGGCCACUCGCAGCGCAGUUCGUUGAUAGUGAUCUCGACGUGGAGGAGGAUGAGGACAAUGAUGAUUCUGCGGAUGUUGACGAUGUCGACGACGAAGGCGUUGACGAAUCUGGCGAUGCCGGCAAUGAUAAUGCCGGUUUAGUGUUAUACAUACAACGAUGAUUCCGCACCGCAGUACGCGCAUCGCUCGAUCAGUCAUUUGCAUCAUGAUGAGCUGCAACAGCCGCGUGCCGAACGCCUUACUAGCGGUGGUGUUGGAUAUGGUUAUCGCAGUAAUUCGGAUCCAGAAGCGCAGGUGCCUGCUGGCGUUCCAAGAUAUGUCUUUUCACAUAGAACCCGUCAAAAUAUGGAACCUCAUCUAAAUAGAGAAUACUUGUGAACCCGCAUGGCGUUGAAACGCCAAAAUUGAAUUUAACUUUUUAAACAGGUGAAAGCCUAUUCAAAAACCUCAACAAGAAUCCGAGUUCUUUAACUUGACUUCUCAUUUUGGAAAUUCGAAAUAACGUUGCUGAUGUGAUGACCUUCAAAAAAAUUGAUGCUCACAAACCACACGCCGCAAACAACAAAGUGGGCGUGAACGCAAUCGACGAUCCAAAACCGAUGAGGCACAAAAUAUGGACAGCAACAUAAUGGAUGGAGAACGAGCACUUGUGGCCUUUUCAGAAAUUCGACAAUUGAAGAGGGCAUCACAUGCUGUUCGACAACGUUCUAUAAUUCGGCAUCGAUUUGGAAAAUUUCGAACAAGACGAACCGGCGCGACCACAAAUCGACACUAAAAAUCUACUAGUGCUCACAUCAACAUCUUCAGCAUCAGAACUGUUUGCUUCAUCAUCGCUUACAGCCGUGGCGACAAUGAGUGGCAGCACGCACAGGAAGCAACAGCCCGUAUAAGCGUCAUCAUCAGCACAACUACAGCAGCAAUAACAACAAAACUACAAUAAACAUUUGGCAUAGCAACACAUGAGGCCGAGACUCACCACAUUCACCGCAUGCCAGAUGGCAAAAGCAGGGUGGCGAGACCAAGGCCACAGCGCCACCCGGUAAUCAUGUCACGUACGAAUGGCGCAUCAGUAAGACUGGCCUGACUUUUCGAAAGAACGUCGCCCAAUCACUUUUGUACGCCUACGCUAUCACACGCCCACCCACAACGCCUUGGAGUCGCAUGUCGAGGCAGAUAUCGAGGUGGUUGACAACGCGUAUUGCGUGGAUUAUGGCCUGAGUAUUCCCGACACGUGCGAAGUGUGCGGCCAGGAGAAGUGUGCCAGUCGGCAGGCUGGCGAUUGGACGUUGUGUCAGCGUGCUCGCUGCUUCGGUCGCAAUACAGCCAUGCAAAAG
This 2630-nucleotide long non-coding RNA is filed under the name Rhagoletis pomonella (apple maggot). RNAcentral's name for it is "uncharacterized LOC118735606, transcript variant X1". The record is from RNAcentral. Lineage: Eukaryota; Metazoa; Arthropoda; Insecta; Diptera; Tephritidae.